This 177-nucleotide non-coding RNA is filed under the name bovine gut metagenome. The record is from RNAcentral.
UCAUCGAGGUUUCCCCUCGAAAAAGGGGAACGAAGAGGGAAUCACGUGCAAAUCGUGAGCUGUCGCGCAACUGUAAAUCACCGUUUUUUUUUCGGCUGGAUAUUAAAGCCAUUGGGUCGUUCUUGACCUGAGAAGGUGCCAAGUCGAAAGGUGAAAGCCAGGAGACCUGCCCCGUUG